UACUUACAUAAGUACCAGAGUGCAUUCCAUGCACCACCCGGUAAACUAUGAGGUCGACAUAAAAUAAAAGAUGCAUCCCAGGUGCACACAAUUGCAGUUAGAUAAAACCAAUUUAAAAUCCAUGUUGGAAGAACGUAUUUCUUUAAAUCUGAUACGGCCAUGUUUUGUGCCAAUCACUUUUUACAAAUCAAUUCGACUUUUUAUUCGGGAUCCGAUUUAGACUUAUGAACCUUACAAUAAGUAGGCCAAGAGAUAACAUUU
Molecule: long non-coding RNA, 261 nt
Filed under: Mytilus galloprovincialis (Mediterranean mussel)
Lineage: Eukaryota; Metazoa; Mollusca; Bivalvia; Mytilida; Mytilidae
Source: RNAcentral